CUAAGUUUGAUGGCGACCGGCGCACGGGUGAGUAACACGUAUCCAACCUGCCGAUGACUCGGGGAUAGCCUUUCGAAAGAAAGAUUAAUACCCGAUGGCAUAGUUCUUCCGCAUGGUGGAACUAUUAAAGAAUUUCGGUCAUCGAUGGGGAUGCGUUCCAUUAGGUUGUUGGCGGGGUAACGGCCCACCAAGCCUUCGAUGGAUAGGGGUUCUGAGAGGAAGGUCCCCCACAUUGGAACUGAGAUACGGUCCAAACUCCUACGGGAGGCAGCAUG
Molecule: ribosomal RNA, 275 nt
Filed under: uncultured bacterium
Lineage: Bacteria
Description: partial 16S ribosomal RNA
Rfam family: Bacterial small subunit ribosomal RNA
Source: RNAcentral